RNAcentral lists this ribosomal RNA (598 nucleotides) under Itersonilia pannonica. RNAcentral describes it as "eukaryotic LSU rRNA". It matches the Rfam family "Eukaryotic large subunit ribosomal RNA", at positions 78 to 664 of the family's 3401-position model. The record is from RNAcentral. Lineage: Eukaryota; Fungi; Basidiomycota; Tremellomycetes; Cystofilobasidiales; Mrakiaceae.
CCCUAGUACGGCGAGUGAAGCGGGAUGAGCUCAAAUUUAAAAUCUGGCUGCCUCAGGUGGUCCGAGUUGUAGUCUCGAGAAGUGUUUUCCGCGUUGGCCUGUGUACAAGUCCUUUGGAAUAAGGCGUCAUAGAGGGUGAGAAUCCCGUCCUUGACACAGAUCCCCAAUGCUUUGUGAUGCGCUCUCAAAGAGUCGAGUUGUUUGGGAAUGCAGCUCAAAAUGGGUGGUAAAUUCCAUCUAAAGCUAAAUAUUGGCGAGAGACCGAUAGCGAACAAGUACCGUGAGGGAAAGAUGAAAAGCACUUUGGAAAGAGAGUUAAACAGUACGUGAAAUUGUUGAAAGGGAAACGAUUGAAGUCAGUCAUGCUCGUAGGGAUUCAACCGGUUCUGCCGGCCUAUUUCCCUACUUGCAGGCCAGCAUCAGUUUUGACCGGUGGAAAAGGUUGGAGGGAAUGUGGCAUCCUCGGAUGUGUUAUAGCCCUCUUUCGCAUACAUCGGUUGGGACUGAGGAACGCAGCACGCCUUUAUGGUCGGUCUUCGGACACGUACGUGCUUAGGAUGCUGGCAUAAUGGCUUUAAACGACCCGUCUUGAACACCG